AGGUUUUUUUGUUUUUUUUU
RNAcentral lists this microRNA (20 nucleotides) under Corchorus olitorius. RNAcentral's name for it is "bta-miR-181". Lineage: Eukaryota; Viridiplantae; Streptophyta; Magnoliopsida; Malvales; Malvaceae. The record is from RNAcentral.